This 292-nucleotide ribosomal RNA is filed under the name uncultured bacterium. RNAcentral's name for it is "partial 16S ribosomal RNA". It matches the Rfam family "Bacterial small subunit ribosomal RNA", at positions 505 to 796 of the family's 1533-position model. The record is from RNAcentral.
GUGCCAGCAGCCGCGGUAAGACGAACCGUGCAAACGUUGUUCGGAAUCACUGGGCUUAAAGGGCGCGUAGGCGGGCGGCCAAGUCAGGGGUGAAAUCUUUCGGCUCAACCGGAAAAUUGCCUUUGAAACUGGCUGUCUCGAGGGAGGUAGGGGCAUGUGGAACUUCCGGUGGAGCGGUGAAAUGCGUUGAUAUCGGAAGGAACGCCGGUGGCGAAAGCGACGUGCUGGACCUCUUCUGACGCUGAGGCGCGAAAGCUAGGGGAGCGAACGGGAUUAGAUACCCCGGUAGUCC